Molecule: long non-coding RNA, 1533 nt
Filed under: Ficedula albicollis (Collared flycatcher)
Lineage: Eukaryota; Metazoa; Chordata; Aves; Passeriformes; Muscicapidae
Description: lncRNA (ENSFALG00000028791.1)
Source: RNAcentral
AUGGAGGAGAUCCCUGGGAUGGAGGAGAUUCCUGAAAAGGAGGAGAUCCCUGGAAAGGAGGAGAUCCCUGGAAAGGAGGAGAUUCCUGGAAAGGAGGAGAUUCCAGGGAUGGAGGAGAUUCCUGGAAAAGAGGAGAUCCCUGGAAAGGAGGAGAUCCCUGGAAAGGAGGAGAUUCCUGGGAUGGAGGAGAUUCCUGGAAAGGAGGAGAUUCCUGGAAAAGAGGAGAUUCCUGGGAUGGAGGAGAUUCUUGUAAAGGAGGAGAUUCCUGGGAUGGAGGAGAUUCCUGAAAAGGAGGAGAUCCCUGGAAAGGAGGAGAUUCCAGGGAUGGAGGAGAUCCCUGAGAUGGAGGAGAUCCCUGGAAAGGAGGAGAUUCCUGGAAAGGAGGAGUUCCCUGGAAAAGGGGAGAUUCCUGGGAUGGAGGAGAUUUGUGGGAAGGAGGAAAUUCCUGGGUUGGAGAAGAUUCCAGGGAAGGAGGAAAUUCCUGGGAUGGAGGAGAUUCCUUGGGAGGAGAAGAUUCCUGCACAGCAGCAGCUCCAUCACCCCGGACCACGCUGGAAUUCCCAAAAAGAACCAGAGAAAUCCCAAAAAAAAUCCUCAUUCCCAGCGGGAUUUGAGGUCCACAUCCUCAGCACUCACCUGAUUCCCGCUGGUUUUUGGGGAGAAUAUUCCAACUAUUUUCCCAUUUUAGCCUCAAACCCCACAAUCUGAAAGAGAGAAAACGAAUCCAGAACAUCUGGGAUUUUUAUUUCCUGGCUUUUCUCGCAGCUCCAGCUGCGUUUGGGUGACCUGUGCUGCUUGUUCUGCUUGGAAAUCACGGAUGCAAUAUUUAUUUUUGUAUGUCGAGGAGGGUUUGGAAGUGCUGGAAAAAAAUUCCUGAAAUUCCUGAUCUUGCCAGGAAAAAGGGAUGGUUUGCAAGUCAGUGAGCCUGUAAUAUAUAAAUGAUCCAAAAGAUAUAAAAAUAGAAAUAUAUAUUUAAAAAAAUGGUUUACAUCACUUUUUAAAAAGAAUCAACUUUGUCUUGCAAAGUCAGUAAUAAAAGCAGGGUGUCAUGGACUUGCUUUAAACUGUUUUAUAAUUAAUUUCAUAAAAAUAAUCAUUAAUUAUUCUUUCAGGAGCGAUUUUUUUCCCCCCUAUUCCUGCUCCAAAGUAACUUGAGCUUUAUCAAAUUCUGGUAUUUUCAGCUCAAAAUGCUUUUUUUUGGGGGGGAAUUACAGGAAAAUGCAGACUCCUGGAGAGGUCAGUAACUUGAGCUUUAUCAAAUUCUGGUAUUUUCAGCUCAAAAUGCUUUUUUUUGGGGGGGAAUUACAGGGAAAUGCAGACUCUUGGAGAGGUCCCCAGCUCACAAAAUCCCAGUGGGAUAUUCUGAAAAAUCGGGAAUUUGCUCAUUGUCCUGAAUUUUGUGACCUUUUUGAAUUUUCCAGGGAGGUUUUUUGGAGCAGCCCUUCUCUCCACUUAAUUCCAGAUUUCUCCAGGGAAGCAAAAACCCCCCCCCCCCCCCCCCCCCCCCCCCCCCCCCCCCCCCCCCCCCCCCCC